RNAcentral lists this unclassified non-coding RNA (361 nucleotides) under fungal sp. RNAcentral describes it as "partial internal transcribed spacer region". The stretch from base 1 to 46 matches the Rfam family "Eukaryotic small subunit ribosomal RNA", at positions 1786 to 1831 of the family's 1831-position model. Lineage: Eukaryota; Fungi. The record is from RNAcentral.
AAGUCGUAACAAGGUAACCGUAGGUGAACCUGCGGUUGAAUCAUUAACAAAUUUUAAACUGAUUACUUCUUUGGCAUUUCCACCUCAAAAAUGGAUUUGUAAAAGUUUUAAUCUUUUAACAACCUUUGUGAAUUGUUUAUUGUCUCUUGGUGGGUUAAAAUUGUGAAGUUUUUACUGGAGGGAAAAAAAAUUAGUGGGAACACUUUUCUUUUUGAACUCUUUUUUAUUCUGAUCAAGAGAAAAAAUUUUAUUUUUUCCCACUCACCAAUAAAAAAUUUGAACUUUAUAAUAAAAAUAACAAGUCUUGAAUUAAAUUAUAUUCUAAUUUAAACAACUUUUGACAACGGAUCUCUAGGUUCUC